RNAcentral lists this ribosomal RNA (270 nucleotides) under uncultured Chlamydiales bacterium. RNAcentral describes it as "partial 16S ribosomal RNA". It matches the Rfam family "Bacterial small subunit ribosomal RNA", at positions 44 to 302 of the family's 1533-position model. The record is from RNAcentral. Lineage: Bacteria; Pseudomonadati; Chlamydiota; Chlamydiia; Chlamydiales.
GUGGAUGAGGCAUGCAAGUCGAACGGACUUAGUAGCAAUACUAAGUUAGUGGCGGAAGGGUUAGUAAUACAUGGGUAACCUGCCUUUAACACUGGGAUAACGAUUGGAAACGAUCGCUAAUACCGGAUGUGGUCAAUAGAGGUAGAUUCUAUUGAUUAAAGUGGGGGACUGUCAAAGGCCUUGUGGUUAGAGAGGGGCCCAUGGGAUAUCAGCUAGUUGGUGAGGUAAUGGCUCACCAAGGCUAAGACGUCUAGGCGGAUUGAGAGAUUG